AACGAACGCUGGCGGCGUGCCUAACGCAUGCAAGUCGAGCGCGAAUGGAGCAAUCCUAGUAGCGCGGCGCACGGGUGCGUAACACGUGGGUAAUCUGCCUGGGAGACCGGAAUAACCUGCCGAAAGGCUGGCUAAUACCGGAUAAGCCCACGGACUCUUCGGAGUCUGAGGGAAAAGGUGGCCUCUGUAUACAAGCUAUCACUUCCAGAUGAGCCCGCGGCCCAUCAGCUCGUUGGCGGGGU
Molecule: ribosomal RNA, 242 nt
Filed under: uncultured bacterium
Lineage: Bacteria
Description: partial 16S ribosomal RNA
Rfam family: Bacterial small subunit ribosomal RNA
Source: RNAcentral